UGUUGUAGAAAACUGAACUAGGUGUGGCAGAUGUAGAACGGUACCAAGUAUGGAUAAGAGCACGAGAAAAGAGGAAGGUUCUUGUCACAGAUUUGGACAAACAAAUUGAAGCAAGAAUUAAUGAGCUGAAAGAAAAAGUUAGUAGUGGAGAAAUCAUUGCAAAGGGUCGGAAUGACAUAUUAACGCAAGCUUUAGGGACACCUGAGCACCCAGGGCGUGUUAGAGCACUUGGGUCGUUUGCGAAGAUUUCGUCCGUCUUUGGAAGAAAACCAAAAAUAGCAACAGAAAUGGCUGAUGUUGUUAGUAAGAAAGAUGCAGAAAUUGCGAGGCUCAAAGCAGAACUUAAAGCUUUAGAGGAGGAAAAAUCUAAACAAGCAGGUGGGAUAGAUGAUAUGGAUGAACACGACAAUGAUGACGAGCAGAGCGACGAAGAAUACCACACACCGUACAUGCAGGAUGUGUUACUUUGUUCGGAUAAUAUUCAUAAUGUGGUGGCAGAGGGUGUUAUCAUUGAUGGGGUGGGUCCACUGACUAUUCAUGGUGUUCAACUGACAGACGAAUACGCGAGGGUGCGAGUCACCAAAAUGUUACAAGAGGAUGCUGAAAUCCCAUGUUCUGUUGGGGAGAUACACUAUG
Humulus lupulus (European hop) is the source of this 636-nucleotide long non-coding RNA. RefSeq lists it as uncharacterized. Lineage: Eukaryota; Viridiplantae; Streptophyta; Magnoliopsida; Rosales; Cannabaceae. The record is from RefSeq and is a predicted model, not a curated record. The transcript has 3 exons.